AAGUUGUUUUGAUAUGUAUAAUUACUCAAAAUUCCUUAUUUAUUAAAAUCCUGGUAAAAUAAAUAGGAGAGGGAGUAAGGAGAAUUCCCAGAAGGCCCUGCUUCAUGGUGCCUCCCACUGGUUAAAAGGGGGCGUGACGUGUUUCCUCUUCCUCUUUCCCUGUCUCUUCGAGGAAGAGGUAACAUGGCUCUCUCAUUAACCCAAUUAAAUAGAAAAUAAUCCUUUUAUUAUUAUAUAAAAUUCCUGUAAUAAAAGUUUAAGCAUAUCAUUAUUAAUAUAUAUCAAGCAAUAUUUUAAUGUAUGAACUUCAUUUGGUUUGUGUUUUUCUUUUUAUUGUCGGGGUGCACAUGGGCAGAAUGUUGAGCUGCUACAUGCUUCUGGGGAAUUAAUACUUUGCUCUUCAUUACCAGGAAGAGAAUGUUGAGCUGCUACAUGCUGCUGGGGAAUUAAUACUUUGCUCUUCAUUACCAGAGGAAAAGACACGUGCCAAUAAAGGGACGUCGGAUCCCGAGUCCAGAGGAAGCCACGCGGUGUCGUCUCUCCCUCUCCCGCACCCACACACCACUCACAACAAAAAAAAUACACAACGCAGAGUGAGAGCAUCAGCUCUCGGACUUUAACCGGGACUAUGUUUUAACUGGACUCGCUUGGCGCGAUCGGGCCGUAAACAAAGACCCAAACGAGACUGGUUACAUUUGGUGCCGUGACUCGGAUGGUGUGUGUGUGUGUGCUGAAACCGCGCAGAGGAUCACCGCGAGGACGCUGCUUUUCCCCGUCGCGCUCUCCGGACUAACAGCUGUUAAUGACCGAAAAAAAAGUGUCGUUCAACUCAGUGUUGAAAUUUGUCCUUUUUUUUUUGGGUGACUUCAUGUUAUUUAAUGAAUCUUUUUUUUUUUUUCUUUCCCUCUCUGAUUGUUUACAUUUCCUGUAUAUUACCAGAAUGUUUAGACUGCUGACCACAUUGUGGGCUGUAGUACAAUUGUAUGGAGUAGCACGUGUUGUGCAGUUUUAUUAUUGUAGUCAUGCUAGUUAAGUGUGAGUGUUUAGUCUAACAGUGUAUUACCUUGAGUAGUUGUUUAAUCAGUUAAAGCUGGUAAUAAUCACAGAGGAUUUUUUUUUUUCCCCUUUCAACUUUCUUUUAAGUGAGUACUGACUUUCAUAUCACUGCUUGUGAUUUAUUCUUCUAGCCAUGUCAAAGGUAGGUAUGUUUAGUAUGCUGGGUUUGCCAGACACUAAUAGGAAAGUUUCACCUUGCAGUCUUGGUAGGGGACGGGGUUGGUUUUUAAACCAUGCAGGUAGAAGUGAGACUACACCCAUAGCUAGACAGCCUGAGCCAGUUCCUGUGGCUAAUUCUACCCCUGCUUCAGACUCUUCCUAUAAUCCAGUUCAAGUGAUUACUGUUGAUGCUAUGGGCAGUAUCAUAGCCGAUUUAGCCAAGCAAAUUGGGGAGAGUGUUACUGCUAACUUGUCCACCCUGAAUCACCACAGCAGUGGCCUGUCAAAGUCCCUGGGUGUUUCACAAACUCCUGGACGCCAUGAUGCUUCAGAGCUAAGGGUAGUGGUUCAGCCAAGCUCAGAUCUGCCUCCCUUCUACAGAGGUGAUGGUUCAGAUAAGUUUACCAUCCAUGAAUGGAAGGAGAUGAUGGAGCGGUAUGCUGCCAAAAUGUCGUAUGACACUCAUGGUGAAAUGUAUGAUUUU
Long non-coding RNA from Brienomyrus brachyistius, 1699 nucleotides. RefSeq lists it as uncharacterized. The record is from RefSeq and is a predicted model, not a curated record. The transcript has 2 exons. Lineage: Eukaryota; Metazoa; Chordata; Actinopteri; Osteoglossiformes; Mormyridae.